GACCCACCCUCAAUCUGGGUGGGUACCAUCUAAUCAGCAGCCAGCAUGGCUAGAAUAAAGUAGGCAGAAGAAGAUGGGAGAAGUCUACUUGCUGAGUCUUCUGGCCUUCAUCUUUCUCCUAUGCUGGAUGCUUCCUGCCCUCAAACAUCAGACUCAAGGUUUUUCAGCUUUUUGACUCUUGGACUUACACUAGUGGUUUGCCAGGGACUCUUGGGCCUUUGGCCACAAACCGAAGGCUACACUGUCAGCUUCCCCACUUUUGAGAUUUUGCGACUCAGACUGGCUUCCUUGCUCCUCAGCUUGCAGAUGGCCUCUUGUGGGACUUCACCUUGUGAUCGUGGAUGGGCUUCUUCCUGGACCCUUUUGAAAUAACAAGAACUUCAAGAUGCAGCAGUUACAAAUGGGUACAUUUUCACACAGAAAAACAGAGGGGAAAUAAAGAAACAACACUUGGCAAACCAUGACAGAGAUCUUACCUAGAUACGCUGUGUUGACAUCUUUGUUUCUUCCAGAACCCUGUUAUUAGAAGAGAUCAAGUCUGACCUGCUCUGUAAAAGAAGGUAGAUGACUUAGAAGCCACUUCUUAUCCUCGGUGACAGCCUUGAACAGAGUCUAAAAGGAUAGCAAAGAUUCUUCUUUGACAAGGGCUUAGCAAACACAAAGUUCCCAUACCCUGGGCGGUGCAAAGUGUUGCUAUGGCUUGUUGGAGAGAUCUCAAGAAUCAACACUGAAAAUCACCUCUCCUGACAUCGUGCUUUGUGAAUUGCCAAGACUCACAGCAGAAAACAGCUGUCCUGUAUUGAAACCAGCCCUGCAUUAAAGCCAGCAACUUUCUUACAGCAGUGCCAUGAAGAGCUCUUGAGACCACUGAAGCACAGACCACUGGAUUCUCCAGGUGUUGCUAAAAUAGAAGAGCUUAUAUAAAUCAAGGUGGUGGAGCUGACUUGGUACCAUGACUAUCAGCUUUCUGCUUCCUUCUCCACCUCCUCCUUCUUCACUGGAAACCAUCUAAUGAGCCACAAGGAGAGUGAAGAUGAUACCCUAGAUAUGACACCUGCCUGAACACAGCUCCCUAAAGCCCAUUCCCUCAAGUACGGAAGGCUGGCAUUAUAUCAACCCACCUGCUUCUGGAAGGGAGAGGAAAAAAAUCAGAAUCGCUCAACCUGCACAUUGCUGUCAGCUUGUGAUUAUGUGAAUGAAUCUCAGUUACCAAUGAAAGAAGACUUAUCCCUGGAGAAAGCAUUCAUUGAUGAGGAUGGCAGCAGCUGAGAGGUGACAGUGGUGAGUAGGCAGAGCAGGAGAGUGAAGGAUCAUUUCAACUGCUGCAUCAGGAAAGGAGGCAAAAAGCCUCAAGACAUAUUCAGUGCUGAAUGGCUUCUGAGCACAUCCCCUGAAGUUAAAACAAAUGUCUUGACACAAAGAUGAAGAGAGACCCUGGAAGUAGAAGUUAAUUUACAUGGGACUCUACUCUUUUAUUUCUCCAAGAUCACAUUCUCUCUUUUGUUCCUCUGAUAUAAAAAUACAUGUGUUUUGUACCAGAGUAAAGUGACAAAAGUCAGGCCUCAAUGCAAGUGACAUUUAAAUAAUCCUUUUUUAAAGUCACAGAAGAUUGCAACUUCUAGACUCCUGUAAGAACUGAGGAGCAGAGAAUGUUUGACAGAAAAAUGAAGAAAAGAAUCCAUCCUAAAUACUGUAGGGCAACUUCUGAAUGUGGUUUUCCUAAUAGGGAGUUGUCAGUAACAAGCAAAAUUUCUCAGAAAGUUGAGCAAAACCAGAUUGGAAUGAAAACCACUGGGAUGAAAUACUGAGGCAAACAACAGUAUUUCUUUCUGGGAUACUUUGAAACAAAGCCUCUGGGAAGAAAAUGACUCAGAGAUGUUAUAUUUAAGCAAGUAAGUUGGCCCCUAUGCUGGUAUGAGCUGUUAUGCUCUACCAUGGUCUAGUUGAUAUAACCAAGAGUAAUCAGAAGCCAUGAAGGAAAAUUCAGGAAUCUUUUUGUGAAACUGAGUACUAAAGCACCAGUGUUUCAGUCAAUGGAUACCAGAACUUUGCAGGCACAAAAAGGAACCCAAGAUCUGCUCAGAUAGUGGGAGUGUAGAAAAUUAAAUAUCUAUUCAAUUACCUAUUAAUCCAUUAUUAUGAUGGAUGCUUCAGGCAAAAAGUAGCCAAUUCCCCUGAAAAUAUCUGGUCAAUACACUUUUAUGAUCGAAACACUGACAUAGGCAAUUUUUUUGGUAAUCUAUCGGAGGCCAAUUCAAACAGUAAUUUUACUCUUAUUAGAAACAUUAAAUUUGGGAAUACUUCAGAAGAGUACUACUCUAGUCUAAAGUUGACCAAUCUGGGUUCUAUGGAGCUCUAGUUUUUGAAAAUGUUAUAGCAUGAAAAGAAGUGCUUUCUGCUCAUACAAAUUAGUGAAGCCCGAAGAUAAACAAUAUUAAACAGGAUUCUUAUUUACAGGACUUUCCAGAGAAUUUAUUAGGCUUAUAUAGAUUUUGAAUCUCUAAAAGGUGGUUACAGAAUGCAUUUCCCCAAUAUACUGGUCAACAGGACUCUCUUUUUUUAGGAAGAAUGCUUAUAAAUAUCUUAACUAUUGUUCCACAGAUCAGAGUAUGGGACCUCUAAGAAAAUUCAUUCUCUUUUCUGCCAAUAAAAUGAAUAAUAAUGAAAUCUUUUAACUAAAUAUUUUUCAUGGAUGGGUACAUU
Piliocolobus tephrosceles (Ugandan red Colobus) is the source of this 2703-nucleotide long non-coding RNA. RefSeq lists it as uncharacterized. The transcript has 10 exons. The record is from RefSeq and is a predicted model, not a curated record. NCBI's taxonomy places the organism in Eukaryota, Metazoa, Chordata, Mammalia, Primates, Cercopithecidae.